AUUGAACGCUGGCGGCAUGCCUUACACAUGCAAGUCGAACGGCAGCACGGGAGCAAUCCUGGUGGCGAGUGGCGAACGGGUGAGUAAUAUAUCGGAACGUGCCCAGUCGUGGGGAUAACGUAGCGAAAGUUACGCUAAUACCGCAUACGAUCUAAGGAUGAAAGCGGGGGACUCGCAAGAGCCUCGCGCGAUUGGAGCGGCCGAUAUCAGAUUAGGUAGUUGGUGGGGUAAAGGCUCACCAAGCCAACGAUCUGUAGCUGGUCUGAGAGGAUGAUCAGUCACACUGGAACUGAGACACGGUCCAGACUCCUACGGGAGGCAGCAGUGGGGAAUAUUGGACAAUGGGCGAAAGCCUGAUCCAGCCAUGCCGCGUGUGUGAAGAAGGUCUUCGGAUUGUAAAGCACUUUAAGUUGGGAGGAAGGGUAGUAACCUAAUACGUUGCUACUUUGACGUUACCGACAGAAUAAGCACCGG
RNAcentral lists this ribosomal RNA (474 nucleotides) under uncultured bacterium. RNAcentral describes it as "bacterial SSU rRNA". It matches the Rfam family "Bacterial small subunit ribosomal RNA", at positions 30 to 496 of the family's 1533-position model. The record is from RNAcentral.